RNAcentral lists this ribosomal RNA (669 nucleotides) under Acinetobacter sp. EECC-420. Its description in RNAcentral is "bacterial SSU rRNA". It matches the Rfam family "Bacterial small subunit ribosomal RNA", at positions 99 to 763 of the family's 1533-position model. Lineage: Bacteria; Pseudomonadati; Pseudomonadota; Gammaproteobacteria; Moraxellales; Moraxellaceae. The record is from RNAcentral.
CGGACGGGUGAGUAAUGCUUAGGAAUCUGCCUAUUAGUGGGGGACAACAUUCCGAAAGGAAUGCUAAUACCGCAUACGCCCUACGGGGGAAAGCAGGGGAUCUUCGGACCUUGCGCUAAUAGAUGAGCCUAAGUCAGAUUAGCUAGUUGGUGGGGUAAAGGCCUACCAAGGCGACGAUCUGUAGCGGGUCUGAGAGGAUGAUCCGCCACACUGGGACUGAGACACGGCCCAGACUCCUACGGGAGGCAGCAGUGGGGAAUAUUGGACAAUGGGCGCAAGCCUGAUCCAGCCAUGCCGCGUGUGUGAAGAAGGCCUUUUGGUUGUAAAGCACUUUAAGCGAGGAGGAGGCUACUUGGAUUAAUACUCUAGGAUAGUGGACGUUACUCGCAGAAUAAGCACCGGCUAACUCUGUGCCAGCAGCCGCGGUAAUACAGAGGGUGCGAGCGUUAAUCGGAUUUACUGGGCGUAAAGCGUGCGUAGGCGGCUUUUUAAGUCGGAUGUGAAAUCCCUGAGCUUAACUUAGGAAUUGCAUUCGAUACUGGGAAGCUAGAGUAUGGGAGAGGAUGGUAGAAUUCCAGGUGUAGCGGUGAAAUGCGUAGAGAUCUGGAGGAAUACCGAUGGCGAAGGCAGCCAUCUGGCCUAAUACUGACGCUGAGGUACGAAAGCAUG